AACGAGCUGGUGGCAAAAAGCGAUGUCAGGUUUCACAGCUAUAAAAACUGACGAUCAAACGACGAGAGACGCCGCGUUUAGCGGGCUGCCUGAACGCCGGUUGUCGGGAAGGGGCUGCUCUGUCGGGGGUGCAGUGGCAGAAGCAGCACCAGGUGUCCGCCUGCAGAGGACAGAAAAGCUCCAAAGAGCCUGACUUGGAAAGUAUCCAUUUUCCCACAGCUUUUCAAUCUCCAAUACUUUUCACACCCUGUUAGGAGUUAAUGCCGCCGAAACCGCUAAACGCUUCCGUGCCUGAAGGUACGCCUCGCCGGAGGCUGCGCCUGCCGCCCCGCAGCACCCGGGGGCAGGCCGCGCCGCCGUGGCGGUGAAUACCUCCGCCUCUGCGGUUUUUUCCCUGGUGGAAAUUCCUCGGAUGCUUCGUGCUCAGGAUCACACAUCGGGCCUGCACUCUUUGCAAAGGCUUCAAAGGGCAGAUCCGAGAGCAGCAACAGUGGGAGUAAACCACCUCUUCCUCCUUAACCCCUCGCCGAAGGCGCGGCUUCUCCGCCUGGACUCAGCUCCGCGGGGGAGAAGGACGACGGUGCACACUUAGCUGGGCUGGGACUGAGCACGGCUAAGUGUUCUGCGCGUUCAUUCGGGUGUCUUUGCUUAAAUACCCAUACAUAUGUGUGUAAAAUCACAUCCACAUGUGCGAUUAUUGUAAGUUAAAUCAAUACAAUCGAAUAUAUAUUAUUUUAGUUAUUUUAUUAAAUAACAGUGAGUCAGUCCCACAGCUUCUCAUUUGCUUCAUGCGCUUGGAAACCUCCAAGGAAUACAGAGUGUGGAAUGCUUAGAUAUACACUUCACAUAUUAAAAAUGUACAAACUAAUACGAACACUUCGUACAAUC
This is a long non-coding RNA of Pogoniulus pusillus (Red-fronted tinkerbird), 888 nucleotides long. RefSeq lists it as uncharacterized. The transcript has 2 exons. The record is from RefSeq and is a predicted model, not a curated record. Lineage: Eukaryota; Metazoa; Chordata; Aves; Piciformes; Lybiidae.